CAGCAGCCGCGGUAAUACCGGCGGCCCGAGUGGCGGUCACUAUUUUUGGGCUUAAAGCGUCCGUAGCCGGCCCGGUAAGGCCCUCCUUAAAGCCCACGGCUCAACCGUGGGAGCGGAGGGAUACUGCCGGGCUAGGGGGCGGGAGAGGCCGGGGGGACUCCUGGGGUAGGGGCGGAAUCCUAUAAUCCCAGGAGGACCACCAGUGGCGAAGGCGCCCGGCUAGCACGCGCCCGACGGUGAGGGACGAAAGCUGGGGGAGCAAAGGGGAUUAGAUACCCCCGUAGUCCCAGCUGUAAACGAUGCAGGCUAGGUGUUAGGCGGGCUUCGUGCCCGCCUAGUGCCGUAGGGAAGCCGUUAAGCCUGCCGCCUGGGGAGUACGGCCGCAAGGCUGAAACUUAAAGGAAUUGGCGGG
RNAcentral lists this ribosomal RNA (412 nucleotides) under uncultured microorganism. RNAcentral describes it as "bacterial SSU rRNA". It matches the Rfam family "Archaeal small subunit ribosomal RNA", at positions 459 to 872 of the family's 1478-position model. The record is from RNAcentral.